GACGCCGCUGCAAACUCCAGAUCCUCAGGACACGACUCCAACAAAUGCAGGUCGAUCCAGCGUCGCUGUGGUUCUUAUCGCUUUUAUAUCGGCUGUAGCUGUUGCUGGUCUUACUGUAUAUUUUUGCUGCCAUCAUCAGCAUCAAACUAAGCAUCCAGAGGAUGAUGAGACAGAAACAGAACCACUACCAGUCUAGCUGCUUGCUCAAAGGAGUGUCGGUGUUAAUGGAGCUGAGAGCAGCAGAGAUUUAUCUGUGCUGGAUCUUCAGUCAGAUUGGGGCCUCGUCCGGUUUAUUUAUCGAGCUCAUUUUCACAUAAAGAAAGUGUAGAACAAGAAAACCCAGAGUGGAAGAUCAGAGGAUGUAAACAGGAAAUAUUUCUUACAGACGUCUUCAGUCAGAGUUGCUGCUGUCAGACUCUGGAGGAUCUGCUUGGAAACAUCAAGCAGUGAAACUGAUGGAUUUCCUCCUUCAGUACAAAACUGUGAAGUUCAGCCUGGAGAAGAAACACUCCUCUGCCUCACUGUCAGCGUGUUUAAUCUAAGUUAUUUAGUCUUUACCUCACUGGUUAAGGUGAACCUAAAUCUUUUAGUGAGACCUCAAAGUGUCUCUGAUGGACAAAUUAAAAUGAAAAUUAAAACUGUUUUGGAAAAUCACCAGUAGAGUUUGAAGUACCAGGAACAGCAUUCAUGGAGCUCACAUUAAGCACUCGUGUUUUAUGCAAACCUUGUUUGUUAGUUGUCUGUUAACUUUAAUGUCUCAGAGAAACGGAACUAUAAGCUGAACACUUUAAGUAACUGCUGCACUUUAUAAACAGAAAAAAAGCUGAUUUAUACUCUAGAUUUUUAAAGCUACAACUAAUUUAUUACAUUUACUGUGAAACUUCCUGCUGGUUGGGAUUCGAUGUUCAGACUGUAACCUUAUAGUCUGAUUUGUGACCGUCCUCAGUUUACAGGUGUGAAAUGUUUAAACACAAAUGUGUUUAUUGCU
Molecule: non-coding RNA, 988 nt
Organism: Maylandia zebra (zebra mbuna)
Lineage: Eukaryota; Metazoa; Chordata; Actinopteri; Cichliformes; Cichlidae
Source: RefSeq, a predicted model, not a curated record